GAUACGGGAGGCUGCAGUGGGGAAUCUUGCGCAAUGGGCGAAAGCUUGAAGCAGCCAUGCCGCGUGAAUGAUGAAGGUCUUAGGAUUGUAAAAUUCUUUCACCGGGGACGAUAAUGACGGUACCCGGAGAAGAAGCCCCGGCUAACUUCGUGCCAGCAGCCGCGGUAAUACGAAGGGGGCUAGCGUUGCUCGGAAUUACUGGGCGUAAAGGGAGCGUAGGCGGACAUUUAAGUCAGGGGUGAAAUCCCGGGGCUCAACCUCGGAAUUGCCUUUGAUACUGGGUGUCUUGAGUAUGAGAGAGGUGUGUGGAACUCCGAGUGUAGAGGUGAAAUUCGUAGAUAUUCGGAAGAACACCAGUGGCGAAGGCGACACACUGGCUCAUUACUGACGCUGAGGCUCGAAAGCGUGGGGAGCAAACAGGAUUAGAUACCCUUGUAGUCGAAUUCU
This 447-nucleotide ribosomal RNA is filed under the name uncultured bacterium. RNAcentral describes it as "bacterial SSU rRNA". It matches the Rfam family "Bacterial small subunit ribosomal RNA", at positions 338 to 802 of the family's 1533-position model. The record is from RNAcentral.